GUAGGGGGCAAGCGUUGUCCGGAUUUAUUGGGCGUAAAGAGCGUGUAGGCGGCCAGACAGGUCCGUUGUGAAAACUCGAGGCUCAACCUCGAGACGCCGAUGGAAACCGUCUGGCUAGAGUCCGGAAGAGGAGAGUGGAAUUCCUGGUGUAGCGGUGAAAUGCGCAGAUAUCAGGAAGAACACCAGUGGCGAAGGCGGCUAUCUGGACGGUUUCUGACGCUAAGACGCGAAAGCGUGGGGAGCAAACAGGAUUAGAUACCCUGGUAGUCCACGCCGUAAACGAUGGGUGCUAGACGUUGGCGAGCUUGCUCGUCAGUGUCGCAGCUAACGCGUUAAGCACCCCGCCUGGGGAGUACGGCCGCAAGGUUG
Molecule: ribosomal RNA, 369 nt
Filed under: uncultured bacterium
Lineage: Bacteria
Description: bacterial SSU rRNA
Rfam family: Bacterial small subunit ribosomal RNA
Source: RNAcentral